CCUCACCCAUAGCCUGCCUUUCGAAAUAAAGUCAUCCGGUUCAAAAUCUUAUGUUCCCAAUUUCGGUCACGUAAAAUUCUGGAAAGUUUACUCUAAAAUAAACAUGAAAAUGAUAACGAUGCUGAAGUACAAAAGUGGAAUUCAGAGCCCUCUGUGGAAAGAAAACUAUAUUAAAUUGUAGAUUUUUAAAUAACCGUGAUCAAGGCAUGAAAAGCAUAAUUGUUAUUACCUUAUUGUUGCCUAGUGCUGUCACGUGAAGUGUCUUAUUCAAAGCAUUCUGGUUGCAUUGCUGCCAUCUGGAGUGCGAGUCAUAGCCGUGGCAACAACAGGACCUUUGAUGAAGCGGAAACCUGCCUGGCCAGUGGUCCCAGUGCCCUCUAGCACAGUGACAUUGGGAAACUGCUUACAGUUAGAGUCUGAAUUUUUCAAAUGGAAGGACCGGAAAAUGAACUCAUCUGAUUGCCACAUUUUCCACCUGAGAAGACAGAGCCCCAAGCCCCAGGAUGUUCUCCAAGAAGCCUUUGUUCAUGUGGGUAAACUGAGUGACUAUAGGAUUUUGAUGAAGAUUAAAGUAUUCUGCAUUUAAUAUAUGUAGAAGGAAUGCAUUUUGUAAAUUGAUGAGGGUAUAUUGGUGAAGAUGAUCUAUCGGUGAUGAGGACCACAUACAUACCACAAGUUUCUAAACACUCUUUAGUGCUUGAAAAACAAGAAACGAGGGCAAUUUAGUUGGCUUCCACAAGAGGCCUGUACAGAUGUGGAAGAGUGUUUAUACGGAAUUAAAAUGUACAAGCAGAAUUUCCCACAGGCCAUCAUUUGCAAUGCUGUGCACUUGGAGUUUGUGCAAUAUUUUCCUGAUCUGCCUUUAUCUCAUAUUAUCCAGGCCCACCACAGUGACACAGAGUGGAGAAGUUUUCAGAACUAGCGACCUACAGCAGAGACCCUUGUUGGGCCCUCAGUACACAGGUGAACUAACAGGUCCAAGGAUGUGUCUUUAAAGAAAAGGGAAGGCAAGGGGAGCUAU
Miniopterus natalensis is the source of this 1021-nucleotide long non-coding RNA. RefSeq lists it as uncharacterized. Lineage: Eukaryota; Metazoa; Chordata; Mammalia; Chiroptera; Miniopteridae. The record is from RefSeq and is a predicted model, not a curated record.